Molecule: long non-coding RNA, 853 nt
Organism: Daphnia pulicaria
Lineage: Eukaryota; Metazoa; Arthropoda; Branchiopoda; Diplostraca; Daphniidae
Exons: 4
Source: RefSeq, a predicted model, not a curated record
AUCCAUCCUUGAUUUCCUUUCCGUACAGUCAAAUCAAACGUGGUAAUCGUGGAGGAAUCUUUUGGCUCCGUCAGUAGGUGGCUAAAAUCAAGUUGUCCCACAGCCGCCAGAUGGCGCGAGUGUCUUUGAGAGGACGAAAUUUUCGCCAUUUUGUUCCGAAACGCCAAGUGGAAAGGUACUCCAAAUUCGUUACGGAAUUGCGGUGUCGAUCUACAUUUUCAGCAUUGCAAUUUAAUGGCAAUUCUGGCAUAUAAUUUCCACUAGGCCAAAUAAUCGAUCACGUGGACUGCUUUCCAUUUUGCCGAAAUGUCGUCCGUUGUUAGCUGUACAUGUUCGGAUGUACGUCUCAUCUCAAGCAGAAACACUUCAGAGGUUGGAGAUCCUGUUGCUUAACUGUUGCAGAAUGUGAGAACUCAUGAAUUCUGAGCUCCAUGGCUGGCACAUGGCCACAGUGGUUUUGUUGCAGCCAGCUGUUGAAGACGUGAUGAAGGCAAGUUUAGCUGCAGCUGCAGCAUGCAGUUUAUCGAGCUGGUGUUAUCCUGAAGUGUCAUUGUAGGAAGACUUUUUUAAAUGGACUUGGUGAUACUUAAGCUAUGCCUGUGCUGUUCAAUGUGCAGUGGUUUUGCAGCUUGUUUCAAGUUGAGAGAAGUGAUUAAGCAGCUGUUACAGGAUUGAAGAAAAAGAACUGAAGUAGCUGUGCUGGUGUCUUGAAAUUGCUGUGUCCAACGAGUUGCAGAUAGUGUUUGGUACCUCAUAGAAGUUUAGUUAAAGAGUCUGGAGAUGAUCAGCCACUUCUGCCUAUAACUUAUGUAAAACUUCAAAAUUGUAAGAAAUAUACAAUUCAAAUGUUAAA